Molecule: ribosomal RNA, 279 nt
Filed under: uncultured bacterium
Lineage: Bacteria
Description: partial 16S ribosomal RNA
Rfam family: Bacterial small subunit ribosomal RNA
Source: RNAcentral
UGCCAGCAGCCGCGGUAAGACGGAGGGCUCAAACGUUGUUCGGAAUCACUGGGCAUAAAGCGCACGUAGGCGGCUUGUUAAGUCUGAUGUGAAAGCCCUCGGCUCAACCGAGGAAUUGCGUUUGAUACUACUUUGCUAGAGUCUCGGAGAGGUUGGCGGAAUUCCAGGUGUAGGAGUGAAAUCCGUAGAUAUCUGGAGGAACACCAGUGGCGAAGGCGGCCAACUGGACGAGUACUGACACUGAGGUACGAAAGCGUGGGUAGCAAACAGGAUUAGAUA